AAUAGAUACCCCGGUAGUCCACGCCGUAAACGAUGGGCACUAGGUGUAGGGGGUGUCGACUCCCCCUGUGCCGAAGCUAACGCAUUAAGUGCCCCGCCUGGGGAGUACGGCCGCAAGGCUAAAACUCAAAGGAAUUGACGGGGGCCCGGCACAAGCAGCGGAGCAUGCGGUUUAAUUGGACGCAACGCCAAGAACCUUACCCGGGCUUGACAUGUUCCUGACCGGCCUGGAAACAGGUCUUCCCUUCGGGGCAGGAUCACAGGUGGUGCAUGGCUGUCGUCAGCUCGUGUCGUGAGAUGUUGGGUUAAGUCCCGCAACGAGCGCAACCCCGUCGCAUGUUGCCAGCAUUAAGUUGGGGACUCAUGCGAGACUGCCGGUGACAAACCGGAGGAAGGUGGGGAUGACGUCAAGUCAUCAUGCCCCUUAUGUCCGGGGCUACACACGUGCUACAUUGGCGCGUACAGGAGGGCUGCGAUACCGCGAGGUGGAGCGAAUCCCUUAAAGCGCGUCUCGGUUCGGAUUGCAGGCUGAAACUCG
RNAcentral lists this ribosomal RNA (537 nucleotides) under uncultured bacterium. RNAcentral describes it as "bacterial SSU rRNA". It matches the Rfam family "Bacterial small subunit ribosomal RNA", at positions 777 to 1314 of the family's 1533-position model. The record is from RNAcentral.